AUGCCACAGAGAUGGAGACUAAAAUGCACAGGCACUGCAUGAGCAGUGGCAGUGCAAGUUUUCCAACAGUGCCCCCAUCAAUGGGCCUCAGUCAUGAGCUGCAUGGACCAGCUGUAUGAGGCAGAAUGAUAAUUCAGGUUCAAUGUCCAUUCAAUCCUUGGCCUUU
RNAcentral lists this small RNA (166 nucleotides) under Chelonoidis abingdonii (Abingdon island giant tortoise). RNAcentral's name for it is "TUC338 (ENSCABG00000003507.1)". Lineage: Eukaryota; Metazoa; Chordata; Testudines; Testudinidae. The record is from RNAcentral.